GAUGAACGCUAGCUACAGGCUUAACACAUGCAAGUCGAGGGGAAACGGCAUCGAAAGCUUGCUUUUGAUGGGCGUCGACCGGCGCACGGGUGAGUAACGCGUAUCCAACCUGCCCAUCACUUGGGAAUAACCUUGCGAAAGUAAGACUAAUGCCCAAUGACAUCCCACGAAGGCAUCCGAAUGGGAUUAAAGAUUUAUCGGUGAUGGAUGGGGAUGCGUCUGAUUAGCUUGUUGUCGGGGUGACGGCCCACCAAGGCAACGAUCAGUAGGGGUUCGGAGAGGAAGGUCCCCCACAUUGGAACUGGGACACGGUCCAAACUCCUACGGGAGGCAGCAGUGAGGAAUAUUGGUCAAUGGGCGAGAGCCUGAACCAGCCAAGUAGCGUGCAGGAUGACGGCCCUAUGGGUUGUAAACUGCUUUUAUAAGGGAAUAAAGUGGGUCACGUGUGACUUUUUGCAUGUACCUUAUGAAUAAGGACCGGCUAAUUCCGUG
This 492-nucleotide ribosomal RNA is filed under the name uncultured bacterium. Its description in RNAcentral is "partial 16S ribosomal RNA". It matches the Rfam family "Bacterial small subunit ribosomal RNA", at positions 28 to 507 of the family's 1533-position model. The record is from RNAcentral.